This is a non-coding RNA of Ictidomys tridecemlineatus (thirteen-lined ground squirrel), 1931 nucleotides long. Lineage: Eukaryota; Metazoa; Chordata; Mammalia; Rodentia; Sciuridae. The record is from RefSeq and is a predicted model, not a curated record.
UUCAGCUCCUGGCACACUUUCUACUUCGGAAUUGUGGAAUCUGCAUUUAUCUGGUCAACAUUUACUGAAAAUCUAACUCUGUGCCCUAGAGAUUGGCCUCAAACAAAACAAACCCAGUCCUGGCCCUCCCAGAGCUUCAGGACCAGCAGGGAAGUCAGAUAUGCCACUAAAACAGAGACAUCACCCAGCGGGUUACCACGGUACUUAGUGGUAACACUCAAGAGGUGAAGCGCUGGGGUGCUCACAAGCUCAGGCUUGGCCUGGCCCAUGGUUCCAGGGGCAGCCUGAACAUGUGACAGAAACCCAUGGAGCUUUGGAGAGAGGAGCAGAAGGACGAGGAGGAAUCACUUCAGAGGCAGACAUCUUCCUCUUGCUGGCUGUGAAAGGUGGGCCCUGCUGGCUUGGUGACUUGGAAGACAGGGCUGUGGCUCCAUAGAGCACUGGAUUGGGAUCCUUGUGUCUUCGGGCCUGUUCUCACCCCUCUCCACUGAUAGAACUAGGUGGAGGUGAAUUCCCACCCCUGAGAACAUGGCUUGAAGGCCUUAGAUCUUCACUUCUUAGGGACAGAGUCUGGCGGAAAACAAUGAUGUGGAACUUCUGACUCCUGUCCAUAAAAGGCAGCAUUGCAGUCUCUACUCUUUGGAAUCAUUUACUCUGGGGGAAGACAACUCCCAUAUUGUGAGCAGCAUUAUGUAGAACCGUGAGCUUGUGGAGAAGGACUGAGGACUCCUAUCAACAGACAACCAUCCUCUCCUGCCUGUAGGUGACACAUACCCGGCCUGACACCUAGCUUCUGCCUCAUGGGAGAUGGAAGCCAGAGCCACCCAGCUAAGUUCCUCCCCAGAUUUUGAGCCUUAAAACUGUGUGAGAUCAUACAUGUGUACUGUAUCUCAGGCUGCUAAAUUUUGGGGUGAAUUGUUAUGCCGCAAGAGAUCACUAAUUCAGAGCAUUUGUCUUUUCCUUAUUGACUUGUAAGGGCUUUUUAUUUACUAAGAAUAUCAAUUACUCAUAGACAUAUGUUGCAAAUAUCUCUUGGGAUUUUCACUGAAUAUGCAUUGAAUUUAUAAUUAUUUUGGGGAGAAAUAACAUCUUUACUUUUACUAAGGGAAAAGAGUAUUGAUUCUUUUUUGUUCAGGGACAAGGAUUUAAAUCUUCUUUUACAUCCUGGAGUAAAUUUGGUUGUUUUAUUUGUUUAAGUCCUGCCACAUUUUUUUCUUAUGUUUAUUCUAGGGGUAUUUUAUAUAUUUUCCUUGAUUUGGUAAGUGAGACAUUUUUUAAAAAUAGUUUUUGAUUAUUGAUGAUAAGAUUAAGUAUAACAAAAAAAAAUCAGUGAACUUGGUGAUGCAUAGAUUCUCAACCUGCCUGGGUUAAAAUUUUUGAAUCUUGGUUGCUGUAUCUGUAUAUUCCUCAAUGGAUGGAUUGUAAGGAUGAAGUCAAAUAAUCUAUAUACAGGAUUGAGUGCAGGGCCUGGUACGUGGGAAGCAUAUAAUAUUUGCUACUAUUAUUUUUAUUCAUAAUCAAAGGAAAUAAAACCAAAUAUUACCUCCCUUGACCCAGCAUAACCAAACUGUACAUUAAUAAUGUGUGCAUACAGUAUGCAUAAUGAGCCAUUUCACUAACUCUGUCAGGGCUCCAGGCUGCCCUUGUUCCAUAGCAGUGAGAUUUGACUGUCUUACAGAUGUGUCAAGUCCUUGGAUUUGAAAUCCUUGUAGGCUGUACAAAUUAGUUAGCCUUAUUUUACAUUGUACAGUAUGUGAAGUAACCACCUCUUGACUUCAGCAUUCAAAUUUAUGUGAAACUCAUGCAAAUGACAUGUCCCUGAAUCACCUAGCUCCAUGGAUGUCUCUGCCUCACUCUCCAAGAUCUGUGUUUUGCAGUUCCUUGAAUGCAUCCCUCUGAGAGACAGCUCUGGGCACCUCCAACCCCCCCCC